RNAcentral lists this unclassified non-coding RNA (35 nucleotides) under Klebsiella pneumoniae subsp. pneumoniae BJ1-GA. RNAcentral describes it as "Pox_AX_element". Lineage: Bacteria; Pseudomonadati; Pseudomonadota; Gammaproteobacteria; Enterobacterales; Enterobacteriaceae. The record is from RNAcentral.
AAGGUGCGGAGACAAAAAAACCCGCCGCAGCGGGU